AGAGUUUGAUCCUGGCUCAGGAUGAACGCUGGCGGCGUGCCUAAUACAUGCAAGUCGAACGGUCUGGUGAAAAUCAGAUAGUGGCGAACGGGUGAGUAACGCGUUGGUGACCUGCCCCGAAGUGAGGGAUAACAGUUCGAAAGGAUUGCUAAUACCGCAUAAUGUCUCCGAGGUUAGAGGCUUGGAGAAGAAAGGAGAAAUUCACUUUGGGAGGGACCUGCGUCCCAUCAGCUAGUUGGUAGGGUAGCGGCCUACCAAGGCGAUGACGGGUAGGGGACCUGAGAGGGUGGCCCCCCACAAUGGAACUGAAACACGGUCCAUACACCUACGGGUGGCAGCAGUAGGGAAUACUGGUAAUCUGCGAAAGCGGGAACCAGCAACGCCGCGUGUGCGAUGAAGGCCUUCGGGUCGUAAAGCACUUUUCGAUGGGAUGAGGAAGGACAGUACCAUCGGAAUAAGUCUCGGCUAACUACGUGCCAGCAGCCGCGGUAAAACGUAGGAGGCGAGCGUUAUCCGGAUUUACUGGGCGUAAAGCGCGUGCAGGCGGUUCUGUAAGUUGGAUGUGAAAGCUCCUGGCUCAACUGGGAGAGGUCGUUCAAUACUACGGGACUCGAGGAUGGUAGAGGGAGGUGGAAUUCCGGGUGUAGUGGUGAAAUGCGUAGAUAUCCGGAGGAACACCAGUGGCGAAAGCGGCCUCCUGGACCAUAUCUGACGCUCAGAUGCGAAAGCUAGGGGAGUAAACGGGAUUAGAGACCCCGGUAAUCCUAGCUGUAAACGAUGUAGACUUGGCGUUGGCGGGUUUAAAUCCGUCGGUGCCGGAGCAAACGCGAUAAGUCUACCGCCUGGGGACUACGGCCGCAAGGUUAAAACUCAAAGGAAUUGACGGGGGCCCGCACAAGCAGCGGAGCGUGUGGUUUAAUUCGAUUUUACACGAAGAACCUUACCAGGGUUUGACAUGCAGGUAGUAGGGAACUGAAAAGGGACCGACCCUCGGGGAGCCUGCACAGGUGUUGCAUGGCUGUCGUCAGCUCGUGUCGUGAGAUGUUCGGUUAAGUCCGCUAACGAGCGCAACCCUCGCUGUGUGUUACAAGUGUCACUCGGGACUGCCGGUAUUAAGCCGGAGGAAGGUGGGGAUGACGUCAAGUCAGCAUGACCUUUAUAUCCUGGGCUACACACACGCUACAAUGGCCAGUACAAUGGGUAGCUAAGCCGCGAGGCUGAGCCAAUCCUAAAAGCUGGUCUCAGUUCAGAUCGUAGGCUGCAACCCGCCUGCGUGAAGACGGAGUUGCUAGUAACCGCAGGUCAGCUAUACUGCGGUGAAUACGUUCCCGGGCCUUGUACACACCGCCCGUCACGUCAUGGGAGCUGGCAACACCUGAAGCCGGUAUCCUAACCCGCAAGGGAGGGAGCCGUCGAGGGUGGGGUCGGUGACUGGGACGAAGUCGUAACAAGGUA
This 1455-nucleotide ribosomal RNA is filed under the name metagenome. RNAcentral describes it as "bacterial SSU rRNA". It matches the Rfam family "Bacterial small subunit ribosomal RNA". The record is from RNAcentral.